GAUGAACGCUGGCGGCGUGCUUAACACAUGCAAGUCGAACGGAAAGGCUCCUGCUUGCAGGGGUACUCGAGUGGCGAACGGGUGAGUAACACGUGGGUGAUCUGCCCAGCACUUCGGGAUAAGCCUGGGAAACUGGGUCUAAUACCGGAUAGGACGAUGGUUUGGAUGCCAUUGUGGAAAGUUUUUUCGGUGUGGGAUGAGCUCGCGGCCUAUCAGCUUGUUGGUGGGGUAAUGGCCUACCAAGGCGUCGACGGGUAGCCGGCCUGAGAGGGUGUACGGCCACAUUGGGACUGAGAUACGGCCCAGACUCCUACGGGAGGCAGCAGUGGGGAAUAUUGCACAAUGGGCGCAGGCCUGAUGCAGCGACGCCGCGUGGGGGAUGACGGCCUUCGGGUUGUAAACUCCUUUCGCUAGGGACGAAGCGCAAGUGACGGUACCUGGAGAAGAAGCACCGGCUAACUACGUG
RNAcentral lists this ribosomal RNA (466 nucleotides) under uncultured bacterium. Its description in RNAcentral is "partial 16S ribosomal RNA". It matches the Rfam family "Bacterial small subunit ribosomal RNA", at positions 28 to 507 of the family's 1533-position model. The record is from RNAcentral.